Hippoglossus stenolepis (Pacific halibut) is the source of this 714-nucleotide long non-coding RNA. RefSeq lists it as uncharacterized. The record is from RefSeq and is a predicted model, not a curated record. Lineage: Eukaryota; Metazoa; Chordata; Actinopteri; Pleuronectiformes; Pleuronectidae. The transcript is spliced from 6 exons.
GGCGAUACACUCAAAGACUUUUUCAGUGGACAUUGCUGAUCUAGUUGAAAGUGGGUACUGGCCAGCAACAGUCAAUUUUAAAACCUUGUAUGCAGUGGAUUGGUUCACUAAAUAUGAGGAUCUCAAGAUUGCGGCUCUGGGAAUGUCACGGCAAGCUUUUGUUAGCAUGCCUGAACAUCGCACAAAAGUCUUAGGUCGCAGAUUAAGAUAUGUGGGGAUACCAUGCAGAAUGCAUUACUGGAAUAGACCUAUGCCAAAUUUGAAGUUGAGAGGCUGUCUCAGGUGCAGCAUUCAGUGCCCUGCGUGCACACCCUCCAUGUUGGCUUUUGCAGUGGAUGGGAUCCGUAAACUAUACGGCUUUAAGAGCCAACCAGGGAUUCUGAGGUGUCUUCCUUGGUUGACUACAUCCAUGAGACGACAAAACACACUGUGCAAAGGACCUUGAGAACAUCACCACUCUACAGGAAGACACAGUCCAGUAAUGGGUGUCAGAUGUUCAGCAGUGGACGACAGGACCAACCAAUCAAAAUGACUUGCAGAACGCCAUUGAGGACUCUAUUUGAGCAUUAAGCAGCAAAGAUUUCAGCUGUAUCGUCAGGCUGGCAGUACUGAGGCAUUUACGGAGACGGGACAUGAGGGUCUACUCUGCGUGCUCAAGAGAAGAUUGCACAAAGUUCAAGCUCAGCAGGCUGCAGUGGGUCCGACAUAUUCUGG